AUCUUGGACAAUGGGGGCAACCCUGAUCCAGCCAUCCCGCGUGUGCGAUGAAGGCCUUCAGGUUGUAAAGCACUUUUGGCAGGGAAGAAAAGCCGUGGGUUAAUACCCUACGUUGCUGACGGUACCUGCAGACUAGGCACCGGCUAACUACGUGCCAGCAGCCGCGGUAAUACGUAGGGUGCAAGCGUUAAUCGGAAUUACUGGGCGUAAAGCGUGCGCAGGCGGUUCGGCAAGAAGGAUGUGAAAUCCCGGGGCUUAACCUCGGAACUGCAUUCUUAACUGCCGGGCUAGAGUAUGUCAGAGGGGGGUAGAAUUCCGCGUGUAGCAGUGAAAUGCGUAGAGAUGCGGAGGAAUGCCGAUGGCGAAGGCAGCCCCCUGGGAUAAUACUGACGCUCAUGCACGAAAGCGUGGGGAACAAAC
Molecule: ribosomal RNA, 420 nt
Filed under: uncultured bacterium
Lineage: Bacteria
Description: partial 16S ribosomal RNA
Rfam family: Bacterial small subunit ribosomal RNA
Source: RNAcentral